This 455-nucleotide ribosomal RNA is filed under the name uncultured bacterium. Its description in RNAcentral is "bacterial SSU rRNA". It matches the Rfam family "Bacterial small subunit ribosomal RNA", at positions 330 to 799 of the family's 1533-position model. The record is from RNAcentral.
UGCGAACUCCUACGGGAGGCAGCAGUGGGGAAUAUUGGACAAUGGAGGGAACUCUGAUCCAGCAAUUCUGUGUGCAUGAAGAAGGUUUUCGGAUUGUAAAGUGCUUUCAGCAGGGAAGAAGAAGAUGACGGUACCUGCAGAAGAAGCGACGGCUAAAUACGUGCCAGCAGCCGCGGUAAUACGUAUGUCGCGAGCGUUAUCCGGAAUUAUUGGGCAUAAAGGGCAUCUAGGCGGCACGACAAGUCAGGGGUGAAAACUUGCGGCUCAACUGCAAGCUUGCCUUUGAAACUGUAGUGCUAGAGUAUUGGAAAGGUGGGCGGAACUACACGAGUAGAGGUGAAAUUCGUAGAUAUGUGUAGGAAUGCCGAUGAUGAAGAUAGCUCACUGGACGAUAACUGACGCUGAAGUGCGAAAGCUAGGGGAGCGAACAGGAUUAGAUACCCUUGUAGUCCUAG